CGGACAGAAGGGAGCUUGCUCCCGGAUGUUAGCGGCGGACGGGUGAGUAACACGUGGGUAACCUGCCUGUAAGACUGGGAUAACUCCGGGAAACCGGAGCUAAUACCGGAUAGUUCCUUGAACCGCAUGGUUCAAGGAUGAAAGACGGUUUCGGCUGUCACUUACAGAUGGACCCGCGGCGCAUUAGCUAGUUGGUGAGGUAACGGCUCACCAAGGCGACGAUGCGUAGCCGACCUGAGAGGGUGAUCGGCCACACUGGGACUGAGACACGGCCCAGACUCCUACGGGAGGCAGCAGUAGGGAAUCUUCCGCAAUGGACGAAAGUCUGACGGAGCAACGCCGCGUGAGUGAUGAAGGUUUUCGGAUCGUAAAGCUCUGUUGUUAGGGAAGAACAAGUGCAAGAGUAACUGCUUGCACCUUGACGGUACCUAACCAGAAAGCCACGGCUAACUACGUGCCAGCAGCCGCGGUAAUACGUAGGUGGCAAGCGUUGUCCGGAAUUAUUGGGCGUAAAGGGCUCGCAGGCGGUUUCUUAAGUCUGAUGUGAAAGCCCCCGGCUCAACCGGGGAGGGUCAUUGGAAACUGGGAAACUUGAGUGCAGAAGAGGAGAGUGGAAUUCCACGUGUAGCGGUGAAAUGCGUAGAGAUGUGGAGGAACACCAGUGGCGAAGGCGACUCUCUGGUCUGUAACUGACGCUGAGGAGCGAAAGCGUGGGGAGCGAACAGGAUUAGA
RNAcentral lists this ribosomal RNA (732 nucleotides) under Bacillus sp. (in: firmicutes). Its description in RNAcentral is "bacterial SSU rRNA". It matches the Rfam family "Bacterial small subunit ribosomal RNA", at positions 67 to 782 of the family's 1533-position model. Lineage: Bacteria; Bacillati; Bacillota; Bacilli; Caryophanales; Bacillaceae. The record is from RNAcentral.